Non-coding RNA from Peromyscus maniculatus bairdii (prairie deer mouse), 126 nucleotides. The record is from RefSeq and is a predicted model, not a curated record. Lineage: Eukaryota; Metazoa; Chordata; Mammalia; Rodentia; Cricetidae.
GGAAAUUAUUACAGGGGUAACUGUAGUGGUUGGAAUAGAAAUGGCCCCCAUAGGCUCAUAUAUCUGAAUGUUUGGUCAUUAGGGAAUGAAUCUACUUGACAGGGAUUAGGAGAUGUGGCCUUGUUG